RNAcentral lists this transfer RNA (71 nucleotides) under Cordylochernes scorpioides. RNAcentral describes it as "tRNA-Gly". It matches the Rfam family "tRNA". Rfam says of the family: Transfer RNA (tRNA) molecules are approximately 80 nucleotides in length. Lineage: Eukaryota; Metazoa; Arthropoda; Arachnida; Pseudoscorpiones; Chernetidae. The record is from RNAcentral.
GCAUCGGUGGUUCAGUGGUAGAAUGCUCGCCUGCCACGCGGGCGGCCAGGGUUCGAUUCCCAGCCGAUGCA